GUUGGAAGAUCCGGGAUCUUUCA
RNAcentral lists this small nuclear RNA (23 nucleotides) under Arabidopsis thaliana (thale cress). RNAcentral's name for it is "snRNA_09426". Lineage: Eukaryota; Viridiplantae; Streptophyta; Magnoliopsida; Brassicales; Brassicaceae. The record is from RNAcentral.